UAAGGAAUAUUGGUCAAUGGGCGGAAGCCUGAACCAGCCAUGCCGCGUGCAGGAAGACUGCCCUAUGGGUUGUAAACUGCUUUUGUACCGGAAUAAACCUCACUUCGUGAAGUGAGCUGAAUGUACGGUAAGAAUAAGGAUCGGCUAACUCCGUGCCAGCAGCCGCGGUAAUACGGAGGAUCCAAGCGUUAUCCGGAUUUAUUGGGUUUAAAGGGUGCGUAGGCGGCUUUUUAAGUCAGGGGUGAAAGACGGUGGCUCAACCAUCGCAGUGCCUUUGAUACUGAAAAGCUUGAAUAGACCUGAGGUAGGCGGAAUGUGACAAGUAGCGGUGAAAUGCAUAGAUAUGUCACAGAACACCAAUUGCGAAGGCAGCUUACUAAAGUCUGAUUGACGCUGAGGC
This 400-nucleotide ribosomal RNA is filed under the name uncultured bacterium. Its description in RNAcentral is "bacterial SSU rRNA". It matches the Rfam family "Bacterial small subunit ribosomal RNA", at positions 355 to 752 of the family's 1533-position model. The record is from RNAcentral.